UAGGAAUGGACGAGUGGGUGUUACUCGU
This 28-nucleotide small RNA is filed under the name Bombyx mori (domestic silkworm). RNAcentral's name for it is "piRNA piR-bmo-2000256". The record is from RNAcentral. Lineage: Eukaryota; Metazoa; Arthropoda; Insecta; Lepidoptera; Bombycidae.